Fundulus heteroclitus (mummichog) is the source of this 600-nucleotide long non-coding RNA. RefSeq lists it as uncharacterized. The record is from RefSeq and is a predicted model, not a curated record. Lineage: Eukaryota; Metazoa; Chordata; Actinopteri; Cyprinodontiformes; Fundulidae. The transcript is spliced from 3 exons.
UAGUUUCCCUAGCUGCUGCAGGAGCCAACAGUGAGUUACACACGACAAGCACCCCUCAAACUGAUCAAGAAAACCGAGGCAGCCCAUCAAAUGCCCCUGAUACAAUCCAGAGAAGAUGGUCCUUAAGAAAGAGGAAAAGACCCAAUCUCGUUGAACUAUGUUCUACUCUUGAGAGAUUCCAUCAAGUAAUUCCGAAUCUCGUCAAGAAAGUGGUUACGCUUCGAAGACUUGUUGCGGAAUCGGACUCGAUCAUUCGACAAAUUCCAUACUACGGUCACAACGCUACUUACUACUGCUUGAAAUCUGAGGAGCUUCUGAGGACCUGCAUGUUUCUCCUGAAAGAAAUCUCCAAGGCCUCGACACUACAGUAGAGUUAACCUUUUAAAUUGUGACCUCUGUAAAAAUGGAUAGUCAGCAAAUGAGAGAUGCUUUGAAGCUGUGAAUGAACUCCGUAAUCUCCAUGUGUAGCCAGCAACCAAAUUUUUCAAUCUAACCCCAAAUUCCCCCAUCAGAAUUCAGACGGGUCCGGAUUGGGAUCUUGAACGUUUACUAUCUGUAGAACGAGCCAUCGAACGAAUAAACAAUUCUUUCUCUCAAUUA